GCGGUGACUGAAGGCAGAUUUUUUUUAAUUUAAUCUCCCCACCGAACACACACCUGUAUAAUAUAUCAUUGGAAAGAGGAAAUCGUGUACUAUAAUAAUAUGCCUGUCGUCAGGACUUGAUAUGGUCACAUUUUUUUUAAUUGAGGUCAAAGGUCAUAUGUAAAAAUCUGUGAAAAUUUGGGAGGGUUUCAAUUUUGACAUUUUUU
RNAcentral lists this long non-coding RNA (206 nucleotides) under Mytilus galloprovincialis (Mediterranean mussel). The record is from RNAcentral. Lineage: Eukaryota; Metazoa; Mollusca; Bivalvia; Mytilida; Mytilidae.